CAGCCGCCGCGGUAAUACGUAGGUGGCAAGCGUUGUCCGGAAUUAUUGGGCGUAAAGGGCUCGCAGGCGGUUUCUUAAGUCUGAUGUGAAAGCCCCCGGCUCAACCGGGGAGGGUCAUUGGAAACUGGGAAACUUGAGUGCAGAAGAGGAGAGUGGAAUUCCACGUGUAGCGGUGAAAUGCGUAGAGAUGCGGAGGAACACCAGUGGCGAAGGCGACUCUCUGGUCUGUAACUGACGCUGGGGAGCGAAAGCGUGGGGAGCGAACAGGAUUAGAUACCCCGGUAGUCCCUGUCUCUUAUAU
Molecule: ribosomal RNA, 301 nt
Filed under: uncultured bacterium
Lineage: Bacteria
Description: partial 16S ribosomal RNA
Rfam family: Bacterial small subunit ribosomal RNA
Source: RNAcentral